GACGAACGCUGGCGGCGUGCCUAAUACAUGCAAGUAGAACGCAGUUGCGAACGCGUGAGUAACGCGUAGGUAACUGCCUCAUAGCGGGGGAUAACUAUUGGAAACGAUAGCUAAUACCGCAUACUGUGGGAUGGACCUGAGUUGUAUUAGGUAGUUGGUGCGGUAAAGCGUCACCAAGGCGCCGAUCCAUAGCCGACCUGAGAGGGUGAUCGGGAAAACUGGGAAUUAGACACGGCCCAGACUCCUUCGGGAGGAAGCAGUAGGGAAUCGUAGGCAAUGGACGGAAGUCUGAACGAGCAACGCCGGGUGAGUGAAGAAGGGUUUCGGGUCGUAAAGCUCUGUUGUUAGAGAAGCGGUAACUAAACAGAAAGGGACGGCUAACUACGUGCCAGCAGCCGCGGUAAUAC
Molecule: ribosomal RNA, 407 nt
Filed under: uncultured bacterium
Lineage: Bacteria
Description: partial 16S ribosomal RNA
Rfam family: Bacterial small subunit ribosomal RNA
Source: RNAcentral